CGGUCGACGCUCUCUCCCAUUGAAGCUUAUGACGCUGUUUGCUCUUCUCAGUAGCUCACAACUUUUCUUCCCUCCUUCUCCAGCUUGCAGUGGUCUCUCCGUUCUUCUCCACCUACGCAGAGUAACAAGGCUUCUCUGAAGUAGCCAAAAGUGUUUUUAAGCUGCUUCAGCAUUGAAGCUCGAAGAAAUCUGGGAAGGGAAAUGGGCCUGGAAAAGGAGGUAAUGGCUUUUGGAAGUCUAUUGGACUUGGAUUCAAGACACCCAGGGAAUCUAUUAUUAAAGUUGCAAAUCUGUUUUGGUGACGGAGCAAAUGUUGAGUGAAUGAGAUUAUUGUUUCUAGACAAUAAACAUAUCUACUUACUCUAGCCAUGAGAAUGUGAAUAGGAAAGAGCACAUUACUCAGCCACCUGAAGGAGUUUAAUAUCCCAAGAAGGUACUUCAGUUUUCUCUUUGCAUCUCAUGUUAUUUACUUUCCAAUUCAGAUUUAUUGAAUUAAGACAUGUUUGAUUAACUCACAAAGCUUGUUACUCUGCUAGUAUAUAUGAUCUGUGUUCCCUUUUUUGGCCUUUGGGCUUUCUUAGGUCAUAAAUUACAUGUUCUGUUAUAUUUGUGCUUGUUCAUUGAUUAUCUAUGAUUGGAAAAAAUUUAAUCUGCAGGGAAAAAUUACAGUAUAAGAUUCCAAGCUAAUGUAAGCAGACCAUUUUACGGGUCUUAUUCUUUUCAUUUUCUUUUUGCUCAUGGGAGACAAUGUUUUUAUGAAUGUUUACUUACCAUUUAGCUGCCCUUGAACCAGUUUUGAUCAAUAACUUAUAAAAGGAAACUGAAACUUUUUCUGUCUAGAAUUAUACAGCUGUAAUUUGGUUUUAUUUGACCCAGUAAUACACUUUAUAUAGUCUUUGAAGUUUGGUUUUAUUUGACACAAUAAUAUACUUUUUAUUUUCAGUAUUUUCUUGGCAAAUCAAAAGGUAGGGUCUCUUUAAGAUUUGGAUUAAAUAAUGAUGAGCCAAUGCGUUG
Long non-coding RNA from Neltuma alba, 1014 nucleotides. RefSeq lists it as uncharacterized. The record is from RefSeq and is a predicted model, not a curated record. NCBI's taxonomy places the organism in Eukaryota, Viridiplantae, Streptophyta, Magnoliopsida, Fabales, Fabaceae. The transcript has 4 exons.